This is a non-coding RNA of Dermacentor albipictus, 1145 nucleotides long. Lineage: Eukaryota; Metazoa; Arthropoda; Arachnida; Ixodida; Ixodidae. The record is from RefSeq and is a predicted model, not a curated record.
GCAAGUUGCUGUUGUGCUGGAGCUGAGAAGAGGUCUGCUGCCUGCAAUGGGUCCAUCUCUCUCAAGUGAUUGCAGUAUUAUAGCUCUCAAGGUUCAAAAAAAGUAUGGUGGAAGCUGUUGCCAAGGUUCCGACCAGAAAAGACAGCCAGUAUAAAAGGGUCCACGCCACUGAUCUCUACUACAGGGGAUGAACAGCACAUCGAGCGCCCUCGACUGAAGCUGGCCUUGUCCCGGAAGUUGGUGCUUGACAACUUUGCGGCAGCACUUUGUUGCACGGCCUGUGGAGACAAGGUUUCUUAGACAUGGCCGUGGCCCUCAAGGAAGAUGCCGAGGCCACAGGCAGUUCCUCCAGUGACCGUGAAAAGGUCCCCUGGGGCACAAGUCUGGUUUGGCACCCCCACCUUUCUGCUGCAGCUUUUCUGUCUACUUAGCUAACCAGCAGCAAGUUUAUCCUUGCAAGUGUUUGGAGUCAAGAACAACUUUCACCAGGAAGAAGUGCAAGACGAGUGAUUGAAGAAAAUAAAGUUGCUUCUGUGAUCUAAGAACUUGAGGACUGAAAUGUUGCACCUUUUUGUAUAUAUGCUAUGCAGUGCAUUCAUAUCACCAAGUGCAAAGUGUUUUAUCUCUGUAGCCAUGUCAGUGUGUUGGCAAGACAAUUUUCUCAAUGGUGACCUGCUGCUUUGACUAUGAGCUGCCUUCAUGACAUUUGCAUUAAAGGAGAUGUACUAUCGUGGACAAAAGUACCCUGGAAGUGCGAGCGUUGACCAAAUUGCAUUUCUGCUCAAGACCGCUGAAAACAGUGGGUCACGUAUGCACAUUCCGAACGCAGAUGGUGGCACGGCUGAUCCCAGCAAAUAGCACACCAAUGAAAUUCGGUCGACUCUCGCACGUCCUGGGCAAUUUUGUGCCCGAUGGCACAUUCUUCGAAUGGAUAUGCUCUGCAAGAUGAAAUACGGGAAGCACCUGUACUUUAACGGAUAUAGUACAGAUUUAGUAUACGGAGUCUUUCGUUUUCUGAAUACGGCAAGCACCUGUUUUUUAACGGUUAUAGUACAGAUUCAGAAUACAGAGUCUUCCGUUUUCUAGAUACAGAAGCACUCGUAUCUUGUAUUACGGUCUCUGUUUUUACAGUUGUCCGUACUACG